Molecule: RNA transcript, 5645 nt
Organism: Bubalus bubalis (water buffalo)
Lineage: Eukaryota; Metazoa; Chordata; Mammalia; Artiodactyla; Bovidae
Gene: SCAF8
Gene name: SR-related CTD associated factor 8
Exons: 23
Source: RefSeq, a predicted model, not a curated record
ACUCGCGUCCGCCAUAUUGGAUGCCGCAGCCGCCGCUGCCAGCGCUUCCUCCUCCGUCUUCGCGGCGCGCCGCUGGUUCCUACGGGCCCCGAGCGGCGGGGAGGCGAAACAGGAGCCCGCCGGAGGAAAGAGGAAGGAGGGGGUGGAAAGAAGUCGGGGACCGGGGCUAGAGGGUGGAAGCCCGAGACCGAGUGGGGCGGAGAAGAGAAGGCGCCGCGGCCCGGCCCCUCCCCCCCCGUCCGCCGCCGCCGACCCGCCCCGGCAGCGCCUCUGUUCCCCUGCCCGGCGCUCCGCCCGCCCUAGCGGCCAUGCCGGGGCCUCGCCGCCCCUAAGGGAGAGCCCUUCUCCACCAGUGCUUGCCUCGCCUUUUCCCUCGGGCCCGGGGGGUCGCAGCGGCCCGGCCCCCCACCCCGCGUCCCCGCCGCCGUCGGCGCGCCCGCCCCCUCACACCCCCCACCCUCCUCGCGGCGCCGCCGCCGUCCCCGUCUCGCUCUCCCCACCCAGUGCAGUGGCCGCCGCCUCUUCCGCCGCCGGGCUCCGGGCCUCCGCACCGACAACAUGGAGGCUGUGAAAACCUUCAAUAGCGAGUUGUAUUCCCUGAAUGACUACAAGCCACCCAUUUCUAAAGCGAAAAUGACCCAAAUUACUAAGGCAGCCAUCAAAGCUAUAAAGUUCUAUAAACAUGUGGUACAGAGUGUUGAGAAAUUCAUUCAGAAAUGUAAACCAGAAUAUAAGGUGCCUGGACUUUAUGUUAUUGACUCUAUUGUACGACAAUCUCGACAUCAGUUUGGUCAAGAAAAGGAUGUGUUUGCACCCAGAUUUAGUAAUAACAUCAUUAGCACUUUCCAGAAUUUAUACCGUUGCCCUGGAGAUGACAAGAGUAAAAUAGUGAGAGUAUUAAACUUAUGGCAGAAGAAUAAUGUAUUUAAGAGUGAGAUUAUUCAGCCUCUUCUGGAUAUGGCAGCAGGGAUUCCUCCUCCAGUUGUCACACCUGUUCUGGCCAGUACUACUGCUGCUAUGAGCAAUACUCCAGGAACUCCUGUGACACCUGUUACUCCAGCCAAUGUGGUCCAAGGUCUGCCUGAUCCGUGGGUGUCCCAGAUAACAAACACAGACACGCUGGCAGCAGUCGCUCAGAUCUUACAGAGUCCCCAAGGCCAACAGCUUCAGCAGUUAAUACAGACUUUACAGAUACAGCAGCAGAAGCCUCAGCCCUCCAUCCUGCAAGCCCUGGAUGCUGGUCUUGUCGUCCAGCUGCAGGCUCUUACAGCACAGCUUACAGCGGCAGCCGCAGCAGCCAACACCCUUAAUCCCCUAGAACAGGGGGUGUCUUUUAACAAGAAGUUGAUGGAUAGGUUUGAUUUUGGGGAAGAUUCUGAGCAUAGUGAAGAACCCAAAAAGGAAAUUCCAGCUUCUCAACUUUCUCAUGUUUCGGAAUCUGUGAACAAUUCCAUCUUUCAUCAGAUAGCAGAACAAUUGCAGCAGCAAAACCUUGAACAUCUCAGACAGCAACUCCUGGAACAGCAGCAGCCUCAAAAGGCAACUCCUCAGGAUAGUCAAGAAGGAACAUUUGGGUCAGAACAUUCUGCAUCACCAUCACAAGGGAGCAGUCAGCAGCAUUUCCUUGAACCUGAAGCAAAUUUGGAUGAUUCCAUAGAUAUUCAGCAACAGGAUAUGGAUAUAGAUGAAGUGCAAGAUGCGGUGGAAGAGGAGGUCUUUGAACAGGAAGCAAAGAAAGUGGCUGUUCGUUCAAGAUCAAGAACACACUCCCGAUCUCGUUCAAGAUCACCAAGAAAACGAAGGUCUAGGUCACGAUCUGGUUCUCGAAAGCGUAAGCACAGAAAGCGAUCACGCUCCCGCUCUAGAGAAAGAAAAAGGAAAUCAUCACGUUCAUACUCAAGUGAAAGGAGAGCUAGAGAAAGGGAGAAAGAACGACAGAAGAAGGGAUUACCUCCAAUUAGAUCUAAAACAUUAAGUGUGUGCAGCACUACUCUCUGGGUUGGUCAGGUGGACAAGAAGGCAACACAGCAGGAUUUAACCAACCUGUUCGAAGAGUUUGGACAGAUUGAGUCCAUUAAUAUGAUUCCUCCCAGAGGCUGUGCUUAUGUCUGCAUGGUUCAUCGACAAGAUGCAUUUCGAGCUCUUCAGAAACUUAGUUCCGGGUCGUAUAAAAUUGGAUCCAAGGUCAUUAAGAUUGCUUGGGCUUUAAACAAAGGUGUGAAAACAGAAUACAAACAAUUCUGGGAUGUGGAUCUUGGAGUUACGUAUAUACCGUGGGAGAAAGUUAAAGUGGAUGACUUGGAAGGUUUUGCAGAAGGAGGCAUGAUUGAUCAGGAAACUGUAAAUACUGAGUGGGAAACGGUGAAAAGCUCAGAACCUGUUAAAGAGACGGUCCAGACAACUCAGAGCCCACCUCCAGCUGAAAAGGAGACAGUGGUCACAACCCAGGCAGAGGUUUUCCCUCCACCUGUUGCUAUGUUACAGAUUCCGGUAGCUCCAGCAGUGCCUGCAGUUAAUUUAGUACCACCAACAUUUCCUGUGUCAAUGCCAGUUCCUCCUCCCGGCUUCAGUCCAAUCCCUCCGCCUCCUUUUCUCCGAGCAAGUUUCAACCCUUCACAACCACCGCCUGGUUUCAUGCCUCCUCCAGUUCCACCCCCUGUUGUACCACCACCUACUAUCCCACCAGUAGUACCAACAUCUUUAGUGCAGCCGCCAUUAUCUAUGACUCCAGAAACUGUGAAAGAUGUUGGAUUUGGUAGCCUUGUUUUACCAGGUGGUUCUGUUGCCAGCAGUCUUGCUACUGCCACUCUGCCAGCUGGAAAUGUUUUUAAUCCUCCAACGAAACAAGCAGAGCCUGAAGAAAAAGUACCUCAUCUUAUUGAUCACCAGAUUUCUUCUGCAGAAAACACCAGAUCAGUGAUUCCAAAUGAAAUUUCAAGUGGCCCUGCGAUUUUAGGACAGCCGCCAAAUGUGACAAGCAAUUCUGGAAUUCUGGGAGUCCAAAGACCAAACGUAUCCAGUAAUAAUGAAAUUCUUGGAGUCCGGCCAUCUAAUGUUUCCGGUAGUUCUGGGAUUAUUGGACCCCAGCCACCAAAUAUUCUAAAUAACUCUGGAAUUUUGGGAUUACAGCCACCAAAUGUGUCAAGUAGUUCUGGACUUUUGGGAGUGCUCCCCCCAAAUAUGCCUAAUAAUUCUGGACUUAUCGGAGUACAGCCACCUGGUAUCCCAAGUACUUCUGGGCUUUUGGGAACACAACCACCAGCUGGGCCUCAAAACUUACCCCCUUUAAAUCUUCCUAAUCAAAGGAUGCCUGCAAUGCCAAUGUUAGACAUUCGUCCAGGACUGAUCCCACAGACGCCUGGACCACGAUUCCCUUUAAUACAGCCUGGAAUUCCACCCCAGCGGGGACUCCCUCCCCCAGCAGUACUUGAUUCAGCUCUGCAUCCACCACCCCGUGGUCCUUUUCCUCCAGGAGAUAUUUUUAGUCCACCUGAAAGACCUUUUCUAGUUCCUGGAAGACAAAAUGUAGACAAUGUUCCUAACCCAGAGAAAAGGAUACCACUUGGGAAUGAUAACAUUCAGCAGGAAGGUGACAGAGAUUACCGGUUUCCUCCCAUUGAACCCAGGGAAGCCAUCAGUAGACCUCCCCCGGUGGAUGUUAGGGAUGUGGUUGGACGACCUGUUGAUCCACGAGAAGGUCCUGGAAGGCCUCCGUUAGACGCUAGAGAUCAUUUUGGAAGACCUCCUGUAGAUAUCAGGGAGAAUCUCGUGAGGCCAGGCAUAGAUCAUCUUGGCCGAAGAGACCACUUUGGCUUUAAUCCAGAGAAGCCCUGGGGACCCAGAGAUUUUGAUGAGCGAGAGCAUCGAGUUCUACCUGUCUAUGGCGGUCCAAAAGGCUUACAUGAAGAAAGAGGUAGAUUUCGGUCUGGAAACUACCGGUUUGAUCCUCGAAGUGGUCCUUGGAACAGAGGAUUCGGACAAGAAGUUCACAGAGAUUUUGAUGACCGCAGAAGACCCUGGGAGAGGCAGAGGGACAGGGAUGACAGAGAUUUUGAUUUCUGCAGAGAAAUGAAUGGGAAUCGUCUUGGACGAGAUAGAAUUCAAAACACCUGGAUCCCCCCUCCUCAUGCUCGGGUUUUUGAGUUUUUUGAAGGGGCCACUUCUCAACGAAAAGGUGAUAACGUGCCUCAGGUUAAUGGUGAAAAUACUGAGAGACACGCCCAGCCACCGCCUUUACCAGCGCAGAGUGAUCCUGAACUGUAUGAGAAACUGGCCUCCUCAAGUGAGAUAAACAAGAAGAGUGACACAGUUGCUGAUAUAGAGAGUGAACCAGUGGUAGAAAGCACAGAAACUGAGGGGACAUAAUCAUCACUCAGUAGGACAGAAUGACUCGGAAGAUAAUGGAGCUUUGAAGUCUAGCAGAAUAUGAAGUCUUCCCUCUUCUGGUUUAAAUUUAAGAAGGAGCUGGUAGACAGAUAAGCUGACAGCAGGUCUCCACCGCUGCCGUCGAUCACUGCUGUGUUCACCGUGCCCUUGGAAUGAUGCUGGGCAGACACAGAAGUCCCCCUAGUACUUCUUCAGGACAGCGUGUUUCUCAUUCCCUCAUCAUCGUGAAAAGAAGAUGGAUUUCUCAACCACUUCCUCCUGGAGGAGGAGUUGGAAAAGUGCUGUGAAGUGGCUCGUGCAAGCUCCUGGAACGGCUGAAAGAAACUAUUUGCAUUGGGCCAGUGAUCUUCAGAAAGCAAGGCUGCAGCCUCCCUUGAAAAGGCUACCCAACCCCUACCCCCGGCCCCGCACUCCUCACCCCCCCACCCCCGACCCCCUGCCCUGGGAAACCUCGACUUUUCCAAAGUCAGCCUGACCUACUGGCAGCACUGCCUGCGGUGCGGAGACGCUGGGCUGGAGUCAGUGUGGUCUUUGUUUACUGGAUGCCUGGGCGCUGGGAAGGGAGGCUGCAUGGAGCCUGUUAAUUCGGGGCAUGAAGCAAUAGCAAAGCUCUUAGAGGAAGUAACCAUCGCUCGAAUCCUCCUUCUGCCCACAAACAGGCCGUAAAAGUGAAUUUGAGCUCCGUGGAGACAGGUAUUAAAUGCAGCCGUUCUUGAGUGGUAUUACCAUUGUGUGUGUGUCUAAUGUCAUUUCUGUAACCAGCGGGGCCCAGGCUGAGGCGGAGAGUUUACUUGGCAAAGAAGACUCUCUUCCCUUAAGUUCUGGGAAAGGGAGAAAAGAGAACAAAAAACCGCAACUUCCAAAACACACAGAAAAGUUCCAAAAGCUAGAAAGGUGUUUUAAGAAAACUCUUUCUGACAUAGAACAGGGGAAGGAUGACUUGUUUGUUGGAGCUGUCCACUCAUUGUUUCUACCAGAAAGUCCAAUGAAAGAUUCUGGCAACAAAUUUCAAUUCUGCGAACACUGCUAGACACCCUUUAGGUGCCAGAAAACAUACAAAAUCACUGGGGGUAAAAAGAUGAAUUGGGUUGAUCCCUCCAAGAAAAUUAGGUUUGAGUAAUUUAAGUAUGAAAAGUCUGCAAAAGAAUAUGACAGAAGAGUUUUCUUUUUCCUAGGGAGUGGGGUUAUAGCUAAUAUUUUUAACUUUCUAGUAAAUUCUUGGAUGCUAUAACUGAAGCAUCUUGGUGGGGAUGAUAUGA